Molecule: long non-coding RNA, 2488 nt
Filed under: Cicer arietinum (chickpea)
Lineage: Eukaryota; Viridiplantae; Streptophyta; Magnoliopsida; Fabales; Fabaceae
Description: long non-coding RNA (CARI_LNC002785)
Source: RNAcentral
AUAUUUAAAUAUGUUCUAUGGUAAAUUCAAAUAAGCAUCACAAUAGAAAAUAAAUAAUAAAUAAAAUCAUUAAGAUUUUCUAUUAGUUUCAUCCAUGAACAUUUGUCAACCUACAAUAUAAUUAAAAAUAAAUCCAAAUCAUUUUCAAUAUCAAGACAAACAAGAAACAAUUACUUAUUGCAUGAACCAUUUAAAAUUCCACUUGAUAUUUAUGAAAGUUACUUACACUACUUUUAUAAUAAAUUAGUACACAAGCAUGCAUCAUAAGUCAAACAUAUUCAUACUUAUCAAGAUUUACAUCUAAAUUAUUAUAGAUUGAUAUAUAGUAAAGUCAUGAAAAAUACAUGAACGACCAUUUCUACUCACCUUUUGAAAAUUCCGAAGUCUUGAGAAUGAAAACAAAUUAAAAGAAUUAUAUUCUUUGUUACCCACUUCAAAAUAAUAUGGAAGCAUGUACCAAAUACAUUUAAAGUAAUUGAAUUUUUUUUUUUCAACUAUGCUAACAAUAAACAUUUUAAAACUUGUAUGUUGCUAAUGUUCAGUUCAUGCACCACGUGUUGCAUUCAUUUGGUUGUUUAACACUAUUCCUUCUCACCGCCUGAUUGUCUGAUCAUGUCUUUCUAAUUCAUUUUUGAAUUUCAUACUUAAAAUAAUUAAAGUAAAAUAUCGAAACUCAAUAAGUACUUCCUAGAUUUCAUCAAACUUGAAAUCCCAAAGAUUGUUCCAAAAGAUUCAAUCACUGCAUCGUACAGGCCAUAUAUAUUUCUUGAAAACCAUUAUAUAUAUUUAUAUGUUUAAAUAUGUUUUUAAUCUUACAAAAAAGUUUAGUUUUGAUUUUAAUCUUUGUAAUUUUUUAUUUAUUUAUACUACUAUAAAUUUUAACAAGUUUUAAAAAAGUCAUUUAUGAAUAAUUUUUAAUAAAAAAAUGAUGAUAUGACUAAUUUUGGAUGAAGUUACACAAUAUUUAAUUAAAAACUAAUAAUUAAUUAACCAAUUAAAUCAUAGAAACUCAAUAAUCUUUAUUUUCAACUCCAAAUUUUUUAAUAAAAACUGAACAACAUUCAUCUUCAAUCCUAAAUUCUUCAUCUUCAAAUAACAAAUUCUCAUAUCUUGAUCCAAACUCUAAAAAUUCUAAUCUCUCAGUUUUCUUACACAACACAUAUAAUAUGUCUUUAUAUAUGAAUAAUUGAUUCAUCUAGAUGAUUUUAUAUCAUAAAAUCGCAUGCCACAUCAUUUGAAAUAUAUCAAAUAAUCAGUUUUUAGUUCAAAAUUUGUGGAAUUAGUGACUAAAAUUAUUAACUUUUAAAAUAGAAGGACCAAUUUUGUGAAUUAGUAAAAAUAUAUAGAUCAAAACUGCAAUUAAACCUAAAAAUUGAAAUGAUAAUUCAUUUUAGGAUAAUUUUCUUAUAAUUAUUUUUUAGGGUAUGUUUGGUUCAAUGUAGGGGAAAGGAGAUAUUUUUAUGUAGAGGAUGGGAGAAGAAGUAGAGAUAUAUUUGGUUCAAAAGAAGAAGAAAAAAUAUUUUUAAUGAUAAUGUGUUUAGUUCAAGGGAAUGUGAGAGAUUUUAAAUAAUUUAUUUUUUUUGUUAUGUUGAAUCUCUCUUAUCUCCUCAAAAUCUCAAAUUGGUAGAUAGUAAAAAUCAUUUUAGGUAGAAUUUUACUCCUUUCUUUCAAAAAUAAUGAACCAAACAUUAUCUAAAAUAUUUUCUCUUCUCUCCUCCCUUGCAUCUAUCUCUAACCAAAUACACUUUAGUCAUGUAAAUAGAAAAUACAAAAAUUCAAAAAUUCCUUUUAUAUAUUACAAACAAAAGUAAAUAAUUAUUAUUUUAUAUAACACGAACAAGACAAUAAUAAUUAGUAUAUAUAAUAAAAAAUAAAACUCUACAAAGAUAUUAAAAUUCUUUUUAUCUUUUCUUAUUACUUACCAUAAAAAAAAAAAUGAAAUAUCAAAAAGUGAGGAAAAAAAUAUGUGUGCACUAUGAGAGCAGAGCAAGGCAGUUUUGUUUCCAUGAAAUCCACACACGAAAAGUGGAAUCGUCUUAUUCUCAGUUCUUCAAGAUGGCUAGCAUAGACAACACAAUCGAAGCUCCAACCAUAGCCACCGACCUUGUAACAAAUCCGACAGCUCCGACAUCAGGACUUGGAGCCGGAGCCGACGAAGGACUGAGGUCUUGUGCUGAGGCUACGACGGCAAAGACAACGACAAAAAAGGAGAAUAGCUUCAUUGUAGCUGAUGAUGCCAUUUUAAAGAAAGAUGAAAAUUAGAAAUGAAAAUAGUGAAGAAUUAUGAAUUAAGGAUAAGUUGUGUAGAUUGUUGUUUGAUGAAUUAUUUUUAUGAAAUGAUUCGGGAGUAUUUAUAAAGAUUGCUGACACAAGUGGGGCCCACAGAAAACGUGGACAGCUGGAGUAUGGGAAACAAUUAUGCCGACGUUGUAUCAUGUGAAUGUGUCGGGUCGUUAGAUGUUUGUGUACGUUUGUGCGCUGUGUUUAU